AUCCAGCUGACGAGUCCCAAAUAGGACGGAAUAUGCACCCUAGAU
RNAcentral lists this non-coding RNA (45 nucleotides) under Schistosoma haematobium. RNAcentral also lists the same sequence under 1 other name. Lineage: Eukaryota; Metazoa; Platyhelminthes; Trematoda; Strigeidida; Schistosomatidae. The record is from RNAcentral.